Molecule: unclassified non-coding RNA, 392 nt
Filed under: soil metagenome
Description: partial contains 5.8S ribosomal RNA, internal transcribed spacer 2, and large subunit ribosomal RNA
Rfam family: 5.8S ribosomal RNA (bases 1-122)
Source: RNAcentral
GAUGAAGAACGCAGCGAAAUGCGAUACUUGGUGUGAAUUGCAGAAUCCCGUGAACCAUCGAGUCUUUGAACGCAAGUUGCGCCCGAAGCCAUUAGGCCGAGGGCACGCCUGCCUGGGCGUCACACGUCGUUGCCCCCCCAUCUACUCCUUCGGGAUUGCGGGGGGCGGAUGAUGGCCUCCCGUGCGCCUCGUCGCGCGGUUGGCAUAAAUGCCAAGUCCUCGGCGACACACGCCACGACAAUCGGUGGUUGCGAAACCUCGGUUGCCCGUCGUGUGCGGUCGUCGCGCAUCGAGGGCUCGAAAAAAUUGCCGGGCUCCGGCUCGGCUUUCAACGCGACCCCAGGUCAGGCGGGGUUACCCGCUGAAUUUAAGCAUAUCAAUAAGCGGAGGAA